CCCUUAGAUGGUCUGGGCGGCACGCGCGCUACAAUGAUGCAUUCAAAAAGUCUUCUGACCUUAGAAGGUUGGGUAUUCUCCAAAGUGCAUCGUGAUGGGAAUAGUUUAUUGCAAUUUUUAAUCUUGAACGAGGAAUUCCUAGUAAGUACAGGUCAUCAACUUGUGUUGAUUACGUCCCUGCCCUUUGUACACACCGCCCGUCGCUCCUACUGAUUGAGUGUCUCGGUGAAUUCUUUGAUCUUCUGUCGAUUCAGUUCACUGAUCCGACGGUGGAAAGUUGAAUGAACUUCGUCACUUAGAGGAAGGAGAAGUCGUAAC
RNAcentral lists this ribosomal RNA (318 nucleotides) under uncultured eukaryote. RNAcentral describes it as "partial 18S ribosomal RNA". It matches the Rfam family "Eukaryotic small subunit ribosomal RNA", at positions 1470 to 1795 of the family's 1831-position model. The record is from RNAcentral.